UGGGGAAUUUUGGACAAUGGGCGAAAGCCUGAUCCAGCAAUGCCGCGUGUGUGAAGAAGGCCUUCGGGUUGUAAAGCACUUUUGUCCGGAAAGAAAUGGCUCUGGUUAAUACCUGGGGUCGAUGACGGUACCGGAAGAAUAAGGACCGGCUAACUACGUGCCAGCAGCUGCGGUAAUACGUAGGGUCCAAGCGUUAAUCGGAAUUACUGGGCGUAAAGCGUGCGCAGGCGGUUGUGCAAGACCGAUGUGAAAUCCCCGAGCUUAACUUGGGAAUUGCAUUGGUGACUGCACGGCUAGAGUGUGUCAGAGGGGGGUAGAAUUCCACGUGUAGCAGUGAAAUGCGUAGAGAUGUGGAGGAAUACCGAUGGCGAAGGCAGCCCCCUGGGAUAACACUGACGCUCAUGCACGAAAGCGUGGGGAGCAAACAGG
RNAcentral lists this ribosomal RNA (429 nucleotides) under Bacillota bacterium. Its description in RNAcentral is "Firmicutes bacterium partial 16S ribosomal RNA". It matches the Rfam family "Bacterial small subunit ribosomal RNA", at positions 355 to 776 of the family's 1533-position model. Lineage: Bacteria; Bacillati; Bacillota. The record is from RNAcentral.